CAGCAGCCACGGUAAUACGUAGGGUGCAAGCGUUAAUCGGAAUUACUGGGCGUAAAGCGUGCGCAGGCGGUUAUAUAAGACAGAUGUGAAAUCCCCGGGCUCAACCUGGGACCUGCAUUUGUGACUGUAUAGCUAGAGUACGGUAGAGGGGGAUGGAAUUCCGCGUGUAGCAGUGAAAUGCGUAGAUAUGCGGAGGAACACCGAUGGCGAAGGCAAUCCCCUGGACCUGUACUGACGCUCAUGCACGAAAGCGUGGGGAGCAAACAGGAUUAGAUACCCCCGUAGUCCCUGUCUCUUAUAC
Molecule: ribosomal RNA, 301 nt
Filed under: uncultured bacterium
Lineage: Bacteria
Description: partial 16S ribosomal RNA
Rfam family: Bacterial small subunit ribosomal RNA
Source: RNAcentral